Long non-coding RNA from Mesocricetus auratus (golden hamster), 3644 nucleotides. RefSeq lists it as uncharacterized. The record is from RefSeq and is a predicted model, not a curated record. Lineage: Eukaryota; Metazoa; Chordata; Mammalia; Rodentia; Cricetidae. The transcript has 2 exons.
GGCUCUUCUGAACACUCGGCUGAGGCCUCCUGCCACCACUGCAGCAGCUGGGCUCCUUGCCCUGGGACCUCUUCCUGUCUGGAUUGUCUUCACUUCCGGCUUCCUCAUCUUCGGGGACUGCCCUCCAUCCUUACUGAUGGACAGUACCCAAUCAUACUUUUUAAUGGGUUUAUAGACUUACUAUUUCAGGCAUUGUUUUUGACUAUUCAACCCUCCUACUCACCAUGCCUGCACUCAUUAUUCAUAAUGACUUUUAAAGAGCUGCUCUGGGUGGGGCCACUCUGCCGCGGCUCUACACUCAGCUGCUGGAUUGCAUGCUUCUGAAUGGUGCUGAGUGGUUCCCCACUCUGGAGUGGGACCCACCAACCCAUUCUCAAUGGCAGGCUCCCAACCAGGCCAAAGGAACCCUUGUGACCAAUGAAGGCGCCUUCUCACCAGCUGCUGGGUACUUGAAACCUGCCACCUCUUAACAUGCCCCAGCCUCACAAGCACUUCCCCAGGCGUGCAGGAGGCCACCAUGUUCUGCCGCUACUGUGAGAGGAAACACUGUUAGUUUUGAUCCCUGUGCCAUAAAGAAUCAAUGCACAGCCAUGGGGCAGAGGGAGUCAUAAGGCAUCCUUUUGUUCAGAAGCAAUUAGUGCAUUCCGGUAGAGCCAGUUCUGGGCAGGGGGCAGAGGGAGUAGCCACAAAAUGGCCUUUGUCCGAACUCCCAUAAAAAAAUUCCAGCCAGUGGGAGUGAACACAGAUGUAGUCCAGAGAGUAGAUUGUAGAUGCCCCGGAUUGUGGCUUCCACAGUGAAAGUAUUCCAGGACUUCAUGGAUCGUGGUCUAUAGAAGGGGGAGGGAAACAGAUACCUUCCCCAAGGAGAGGAGCCCCUUCAUCAUGGUGGGGAUUUGACUUACUGAGGACUUGGUCUCUACAUAAUCCAGAGUUGUUUUCUUUACUAGCAUUCAGGUGCAGCUGGAAAAGGUGCCUUUCUGCCUCCCUUCAUCUCUCCUCCGUGCCUGUUCCUGGUACCUGGUAACUGUGUAUUUGGGUCCUUUGGCCCAUAGCUAAAUAACUGCAAAACCAGUUUAUCAUUUGGGAAUUACAGACAUUAUAAGUAAAACUUACUCUCCAGAUAGGUGCCAUUUCCCCAGUUCUAACCCAGACAAAAUGAAGAACACGCGCUUGGUAUAGAUGGGUGGAGUUCACCUGGCAGCAGUGAAUUCUCCCCCCAUCUGCCUACCUCAUAGGAUGCCAGAUGGUGACAAUCAGGAGUCGAUACCACAUCUGACCUUAUCUAUCCAUGAGCUAUCAGAUGGGCAUUUUUCUGUGCUUUGCUUUCCUCUGCUUUACAAGGGACAUGACGACAAUGCUUCCCUCGUGGGGCUCUGGAAGCAUUAAGUGAUGGAAGAUGUGGUGUGUUCAAAACAAACACUCCCUGGCACUCAGACAGUAAAUGGACCGGCUUCAGUUCCAUCAAGAGCCACAGAGGGUGCCUUCUGGGUGGUAUGACUGAUGCUGCACUCCCUGCCCCACCCAAGGAGUUCAUGUCAAAGUCCCUUCACAGGAAAAUAACGAGGGCCAUCCGGCCACAAGGAGCUAACUUGUUGGAUUAGUGUGUAUGAGACUAAAUUGAACUUCAUCAGUCCCAGCUGUCCAUCGUCAGGGAAAAUCAUCAACCUGUGUUGAACAGUUUCAUCCAGUGAACUGCGUCUUCUGUACGUUUUCCUUGGCGGCCUGCCAGCAGCCACCCCAAACACUUGUCAACUUUUCCUGAGCCAGUGAGAUUGACAUCUUUACAACCACUCUACAAAUACAAAAAUUAACAUUUUGGCUGCUUGUCAUAACUUGUCAAAGUCCACAGGCAGCAAAGAUAGGUUUUGCACCUGCUCUAUGCCUGCUCUCAAAGUACCAUGCUCUCAGGGCAGCACUGCAGUGGCUUGGCUGUGUGUUCACCAUGUGUACUGUGGCUGAGCUAGAGUAGGGCCAGUCCCCAGCUGGGUCUACACUUAGAAUAUUGCCAGCUUUUCCUCCACUGAAACACGCUGGUGUCCCUGUAAACCCGUAGUUUGUUUUCUUAGGCAAAGAUGUUCUAAAAGUUGAAUUGCUGGAUCAGCAAACUAUGUUUCCAGGCAUUUAUUAGCCUCGAGAAACAAAGUACAGUUUGAAACUCCUCUGAUGGUGACGGUGGUUACUUCCCUUUCCUUUGCUGUUAAUUCUUUUAAUCAGCAAAUGUUUUAUUGGGCAUCUGUUUGAUUCAAGAUAUUGGUUAAGUAUAGCACAUUAGUAUUUGCUGAGAUUUGAAUGAUCUUAAUAAGUAGAAAAUAUUUAUUUAUUUACUUAUUUAGUGUUGACAUUCCCUUCGGUGAUACAGACAGUAGUAAGCUGCCUGUACUCCAACAAAUAGCCCUACCCGUGAUAUUUGUAGGCAGAGACUGGUUGGAGAAAAGGGAUUCAGAGAGAGACUGUGGAAGAUAAGAGAGGAUAGUGGGUAUGAAUGUAAUCACAAAAUAUAUGAAAUUAUACAUAAUUAUAUAAACAAAUAAAGUAGAAAUAGAUAUUUAAGAACAUACAAAUGGUUAAAUCUGCUUACAAGAAGUUAAACAUUGCUCAUAAUUAAAUUUAAAUCAGAAUAGCAGCAAGUACUGAAUGAUUAAAUGUAGACACAAUUGCUUCUGACAGCACCAAACUAUUCCUGAGAGUUUGAUGGACACAGAUGACACUCCUUUUGGAGUUCAUUCUCUCCUCGGCUACUGGCCUCUUGGGCAAAGAACUGCCCCCACCUCGACUGCUGACUUUGGACAUGCUGUCCUACUGGGCUAGCAGGAGAGAAACUUAAGAAACUGCUGAACCCUGCCAAGUCAGGGUAAGACAGUCUUUCAACUUCCCUGCUUCCGUGUUGGUCAGUCUGAUACUCUGGGCCUUAGCCAAAGUUGGUAGCCCCAGUGCUGCUCUGAAACUUUGGGUGGCUGUCCAGGUAGCCUGCUGUUUCUGUCUUCACUUGCACCUUUUGGAAGUCGCUGGCUCGCACUUCCUGUCUACCCUAGUAAUGCUAUCUUCCUUCUCAGGUUUUGAUGAGGUUGAAGAUUAGACUGUCACAGCUAUUGCCCCAUUUUCUUAGAUAGAAAUAUUAGGUACAAGACUUAAACUUUCCAGUUUAGAACAGCUUCUUAGUCUCUAUCAUGUCUUUACCCUGGGCCUGGAUAUGUAGUUUAUGCGAAUUGCUCUAUGUUGCUUUACUGGUAGUAGGUCCUAAUUUGUUUUUACCUUUCCUUAUCCUAGAGUAUACUUGAUAUUUGCUAUCACUGUGUAUAGUCUUGUAUCAAGCCUAAACCUUCUUCUUUAGACUAAAAGGGAAAUUGUAGCGAUAUUUUGUCUGAGAACCUGUAACAGUGGCCACACCUUUUGGGCUUGGUUACAUGUAGGCAGGUGACUCAUUAAAGGGGAGGUUGGAGGGGGAGAGCCCCUUGGGUCACAGAAACCACGGGAGAGGCAGUGUCUGCAUUGAAGCCAACAGUCACUCACUGUUACCUGUAUAAGUCCAUCUCCAAUAAAACACCAUUUAUUGUUUAUACUGGGUCUGGUAAAUUCAUAAUUUCCACGCCUUCAAUUAAAGAGUAAACAUAAUGAGAAAUAAAACAAUGAUAUUUUAAACAAAA